AAAGUGAUGUAAUAAUUAAGAUCAUGUAAAGAAAUGUGUUUUGUGUAGCGUCGACGUUUUUCAAAUUAAAUUUUGGCAUAAGUAUUUAUGAUUUUAUCUGUGUGAUGAUAUUAUCGAGAUAAGUUCUCAAAAUGCUUUUUUAAGAAAAAUGAUGUGUUCUUUUAAAAUGGAUAUAUGAGUUUCAAUUUUUUUUGGAUAAGUUCCAAAAUUAAUAAGAAUUUAAUAAGAUUAUAAUAUUUUUAACCGACACUAGUGAUGAUUACGAGCAUAGCGAAGUUUUCGAUCCCGUUAUGGCGGGGAUAGUGUUU
This 308-nucleotide long non-coding RNA is filed under the name Ananas comosus (pineapple). RNAcentral's name for it is "long non-coding RNA (ACOM_LNC033506)". The record is from RNAcentral. Lineage: Eukaryota; Viridiplantae; Streptophyta; Magnoliopsida; Poales; Bromeliaceae.